Molecule: ribosomal RNA, 824 nt
Filed under: Staphylococcus aureus
Lineage: Bacteria; Bacillati; Bacillota; Bacilli; Caryophanales; Staphylococcaceae
Description: partial 23S ribosomal RNA
Rfam family: Bacterial large subunit ribosomal RNA
Source: RNAcentral
GCGAGUUACGAUUUGAUGCAAGGUUAAGCAGUAAAUGUGGAGCCGUAGCGAAAGCGAGUCUGAAUAGGGCGUUUAGUAUUUGGUCGUAGACCCGAAACCAGGUGAUCUACCCUUGGUCAGGUUGAAGUUCAGGUAACACUGAAUGGAGGACCGAACCGACUUACGUUGAAAAGUGAGCGGAUGAACUGAGGGUAGCGGAGAAAUUCCAAUCGAACCUGGAGAUAGCUGGUUCUCUCCGAAAUAGCUUUAGGGCUAGCCUCAAGUGAUGAUUAUUGGAGGUAGAGCACUGUUUGGACGAGGGGCCCCUCUCGGGUUACCGAAUUCAGACAAACUCCGAAUGCCAAUUAAUUUAACUUGGGAGUCAGAACAUGGGUGAUAAGGUCCGUGUUCGAAAGGGAAACAGCCCAGACCACCAGCUAAGGUCCCAAAAUAUAUGUUAAGUGGAAAAGGAUGUGGCGUUGCCCAGACAACUAGGAUGUUGGCUUAGAAGCAGCCAUCAUUUAAAGAGUGCGUAAUAGCUCACUAGUCGAGUGACACUGCGCCGAAAAUGUACCGGGGCUAAACAUAUUACCGAAGCUGUGGAUUGUCCUUUGGACAAUGGUAGGAGAGCGUUCUAAGGGCGUUGAAGCAUGAUCGUAAGGACAUGUGGAGCGCUUAGAAGUGAGAAUGCCGGUGUGAGUAGCGAAAGACGGGUGAGAAUCCCGUCCACCGAUUGACUAAGGUUUCCAGAGGAAGGCUCGUCCGCUCUGGGUUAGUCGGGUCCUAAGCUGAGGCCGACAGGCGUAGGCGAUGGAUAACAGGUUGAUAUUCCUGUACCACCUAUA